RNAcentral lists this ribosomal RNA (496 nucleotides) under uncultured bacterium. RNAcentral's name for it is "partial 16S ribosomal RNA". It matches the Rfam family "Bacterial small subunit ribosomal RNA", at positions 28 to 506 of the family's 1533-position model. The record is from RNAcentral.
GAUGAACGCUGGCGGCGUGCCUAAUACAUGCAAGUCGAGCGAACAGACGAGGAGCUUGCUCCUCUGACGUUAGCGGCGGACGGGUGAGUAACACGUGGAUAACCUACCUAUAAGACUGGGAUAACUUCGGGAAACCGGAGCUAAUACCGGAUAAUAUAUUGAACCGCAUGGUUCAAUAGUGAAAGACGGUUUUGCUGUCACUUAUAGAUGGAUCCGCGCCGCAUUAGCUAGUUGGUAAGGUAACGGCUUACCAAGGCAACGAUGCGUAGCCGACCUGAGAGGGUGAUCGGCCACCACUGAAAUGAGACACGGGUCAGGAUCCUACGGGAGGGAGGAGGAGGGAAACUUCCGGAAUGGGCGAAAGCCUGACGGAGCAACGCCGCGUGAGUGAUGAAGGUCUUCGGAUCGUAAAACUCUGUUAUUAGGGAAGAACAAAUGUGUAAGUAACUAUGCACGUCUUGACGGUACCGAAUCAGAAAGCCACGGCUAACUACGU